GAUGAACGCUGGCGGCGUGCCUAAUACAUGCAAGUCGAGCGAACAGACGAGAGUGCUUGCACUCUCUGACGUUAGCGGCGGACGGGUGAGUAACACGUGGGUAACCUACCUAUAAGACUGGGAUAACUUCGGGAAACCGGAGCUAAUACCGGAUAAUAUUUAGCUUCGCAUGAAGCAAUAGUGAAAGACGGUUCUGCUGUCACUUAUAGAUGGACCCGCGGUGUAUUAGCUAGUUGGUGAGGUAACGGCUCACCAAGGCAACGAUACAUAGCCGACCUGAGAGGGUGAUCGGCCACACUGGGACUGAGACACGGCCCAGACUCCUACGGGAGGCAGCAGUAGGGAAUCUUCCGCAAUUGACGAAAGUCUGACGGAGCAAUGCCGCGUGAGUGAAGAAGGUUUUCGGAUCGUAAAACUCUGUUGUAAGGGAAGAACAAGUACGUUAGUAACUGAACGUAUCUUGACGGUACCUUACCAGAAAGCCACGGCUAACUACGUG
This 499-nucleotide ribosomal RNA is filed under the name uncultured bacterium. RNAcentral's name for it is "partial 16S ribosomal RNA". It matches the Rfam family "Bacterial small subunit ribosomal RNA", at positions 28 to 507 of the family's 1533-position model. The record is from RNAcentral.